This 460-nucleotide ribosomal RNA is filed under the name uncultured bacterium. RNAcentral's name for it is "partial 16S ribosomal RNA". It matches the Rfam family "Bacterial small subunit ribosomal RNA", at positions 338 to 795 of the family's 1533-position model. The record is from RNAcentral.
CCUACGGGUGGCAGCAGUGAGGAAUAUUGGUCAAUGGGCGCAGGCCUGAACCAGCCAAGUAGCGUGAAGGAUGACUGUCCUACGGGUUGUAAACUUCUUUUAUCAGGGAAUAAAGUGAGGCACGUGUGCCUUUUUGUAUGUACUUUAUGAAUAAGGAUCGGCUAACUCCGUGCCAGCAGCCGCGGUAAUACGGAGGAUCCGAGCGUUAUCCGGAUUUAUUGGGUUUAAAGGGAGCGUAGAUGGGUUGUUAAGUCAGGUGGUAAAAUUUGGGGCUCAACCGUAAAAUAGCAAUUGAUACUGGCAGACUUGAGUACAGUUGAGGUAUGCGGAAUUCGUGGUGUAGCGGUGAAAUGCAUAGAUAUCACGAAGAACUCCGAUUGCGAAGGCAGCCUACUAACCUGCCACUGACAUUGAUGCUCGAAAGUGUGGGUAUCAAACAGGAUUAGAUACCCCUGUAGUC